AGGUUUUUUUAUUAUCUCCCUUAGUCUAAAGACCAGCUCUAGGUGACUGCUUCUCCUUCUGUGAGACUGCAACAUCAUGACUGCAGCCAGUCAUCCUGGCAUUCCUGUGCUCCAAAGAAAAUUUGAAAUCUUUUGAAAGAUGCCUGAUGAUAAGCCUGACAGGAGCCAGCGUGUUGAGUCUAUAGAGCAAGGCAAAGAGGUCAAGUGCUUCCACCACCAGGGAAAAUCAUCUUGGGGAUAAUAUUACUUCCCUAUCACUGAGUUAAC
This 267-nucleotide long non-coding RNA is filed under the name Parus major (Great Tit). RNAcentral's name for it is "lncRNA (ENSPMJG00000016957.1)". Lineage: Eukaryota; Metazoa; Chordata; Aves; Passeriformes; Paridae. The record is from RNAcentral.